This 473-nucleotide long non-coding RNA is filed under the name Equus asinus (donkey). RNAcentral describes it as "lncRNA (ENSEASG00005027768.1)". The record is from RNAcentral. Lineage: Eukaryota; Metazoa; Chordata; Mammalia; Perissodactyla; Equidae.
AUUCAAACUGCCCUAUGGAGCAGCCCAAAGGGUGCAGACCUGAGACCUCUGACCAACAGUCAGCAGGGAACUGAGACCUGCUGCCCACAGCCAUGUAAGCGAGCAUGGAAAUGGAUCCUGUAGCCCUGGUCAAGCCUUCAGACACCUGAAGGGAAUGAUCUCCUUUCCUACUUCUGAGCAUUGUUACCUACAUGUGAAUCUUGGAACUGCUGCAGUCUUAAUGAUACCUAAGAUACCAGCCUUGAGUGAUGAGGAAGUUGAAAUCAAGACAAACAAGUGAUGUGGCCAAGGCCAAACAGUUGAUAAGUUUGCUGUCUUUGGUGCCUAGUCUAGAGAGAACCAGCAGCAUCUACUAGAAAGAGAUGAAUGUCAUGCUAAUUUUAUAUGUGACCACGGGUGAGUCACUUCCCCUCACCAGGAAAAGAUGUCUUUAUCUGUAAAAGAGAUGAUUGAAAUAAACUAUCUUGAAGGUC